RNAcentral lists this long non-coding RNA (5171 nucleotides) under Fragaria vesca (wild strawberry). RNAcentral's name for it is "long non-coding RNA (FVES_LNC000157)". Lineage: Eukaryota; Viridiplantae; Streptophyta; Magnoliopsida; Rosales; Rosaceae. The record is from RNAcentral.
UCUCUCAUUCAUGAUCAUUUCAAGUUUACUUAAUAGGGUGACUGUUCAUUGUGUUGGGACAAAAUAUCCGGCCCAAUAUACAUUUCAUUAGUGGAGUGGGCUGGAUCCAGGCCCAAUCAAUUGUGCUUAUCAUAUAUUGCUUUUAUAAUAAAAGGCAAAACGAAAUUGCAGUCGAAGCUAGGGCUUGUUGUAUAGAACGCAAAGUUUCAAUCUUCCUUUGCGCUUUAUUAUUUUAGAGAGUCGAAGCUGCUUUUUUGGGGGAUUCAAACCGAGACCAUGGACAGAUCGAGAGGGUAAGCCUUGAAAUUUCAAUUCUUGUUUCAUAUUCCAAUUAUAUGUUUGUUUCUUGUUGAUGAAAACUUAAUUAUCCAAUUCCACUCGUCUUUAAUUAAAAAGAUAAAAUCGAAUUAAGGAAACGAUUGGGAUUUUGGUAUGUAUGAUUGUUUGAUUAUGUGGGUAAUAAACUUUCCUGUAAAAUUGGAGUUUUUGGGAAUACUGGUGUUUUGGUUCUAAGCUGAAGAAGUGAAAAUUUAGUUUUUUUUUUUUUUAAAUUUUUAAUGUGUUCUCAUUAGAAAUUCAGAUGGUUAUAUAUAGAUUAGAGCUUUAGGUGUUGUAUUGUAUGAGCUUCGUUUACUUGUCUGAUUUUAAACCAAAUAUAUUUUGCUAUGCAUAUCGAGCUGUUGUAUUGGUAUUGUUUGUUUGUUUGUUGGAUUUGGGAAUGUGGUAGAUAUGAUGGUGUGUUGUGAUAAAAUUGAUUUGCAUAGGGUUGUAGACAUUAGGUGUCAGGGAAAGUGUGGGUUAGGUUGGGUUUAGUUUUAUUAAUAGGUUGAGUUUGGGCGAUUUUUUUUCUCCUUUUUGGGAAUUUAAGGGCAAUGUUGGGAGGUGGGGGGUUAUCGGACGUGUACGAGGUCGGCUCAAAGAGACCAAGAAGGAUGGAAUCAAACCCCUAUUUUGCAGUUGGCAGCAGCGUUUCAAGGGGAUUUCAACCUUAUGUUUGUUUUAGCAGCGUUUAGCGCGUUCUUAUGUUUGUUGUUGAGAUUCGACUAGCACCAGUUAUUCAAGCAUAAACGCUCCAAUUUAGCACUCAUCACUACCUCAUUGUUGUCAGCGAUGCUGAUGCUAGCAAGCAUGGGUGAUGUGUGUGGUAGAUUUGUUUGUUUGUUGUUGAAUGUCAUCUUAUCAACUAUAGAAUCACUGAUGAACUUCAAGCCUUGGUAUUUUUUAGAAAUAGCAAAUUAAUGGAGCAAUGUGUUUCCGACAUAGUCUUUGCCAUUUCAAAUGACAAUACUGGCCAUGGAUCUUCCCAAUCAACGAAAAUCUUUGCCAUUCAACUUUUACAUAAAUCUUCAUUUUUUUUACCAGUUAAAUAACUACAAUGCUACAACGAGUCUUUUGUGAGUCAAACUCAUGACCUCCCACUUAUGAAGAUGAGACUAUGCUGCUACACCAAAUGAUACUGGGCAGAAAUCUUCAUUUGUUAUGAUAUUUCGUUAGCGUUUUAAGAGGUAAAAUGAUGAAAUUCUAAAAUUAUUAUUAAAAUUUAAGAAUAUUGGUUUUUAUAAAUGGAUCGGAUUAACGGAUCGAGUAUCCAAUAACCCUCCGGAUUCGGAUUUAGAUUGAGUUACUAACGAUCCAGCGGGUAUUGGCUCGGGUCCGAUCCAAAAUUUCUAUUACUAAACGGAUCCAAAUCUAGGUCGAUCCAUUCUAGAUACGAUCGAUGUAUAAGUCUAGACUUCAACUAACCAAAUCCAACAUUCAAAAGUCAAAUACCACCAAAAUACCAAGUUUUUGUCUUACGACGGUUGACAGAGCAGUUUGAAGAGUGAUCAUGCAAAAUCAGAACCUGUUUUUCAGUGCCAAACUUGGCUUUCAGAAGUUACAAAAACUUAAGAGUUUACUAGAAGUUACGAUUUGAGAUUCUACUAGGGUAGAAAAAACAUGAAUAUGAAUGGCCUCUCCCAACAAAUUGUAAAACUUUGUCAUCAUUCAUCAAUGUGAUUUGCCCACAUGCAAGAGUAUCAUUUUGUUUCAAUAUUAUAAGAAAAGAGUAGCUUAAGGAGCUAGGAAUUGACCGCCUAAUACAUGAUUAAAAUCAUUAGAUAAAUACAACAGAAAAUUGCUCAAAUGGUAUCUUAACUUUGCGACCUAUCAAAACCGUAUAUGAGGUUUCAACUUUGACCCACUUUUGGUAUCCAGGACCACUGACGGAGUGACGGUGUUACCCCUGUUAACUUUUUGCGGGUAAAUUUAUUAAUAUCGUGCAUUUAUUAUUCAGGAUAGCUUUAACCUCUGUUAUUACUUAGAACGAAUUUAUAUGAAAAAAGUUGUUAAGGGCAUAUUCCCACCCUAGGACCUUCAAUUUUGAUGGUGGUGGGGAUGAGGAUUGUCACUCCCGACCCUUAUAUUUUACCUUAUUUACUAGCUUGGUUAUAAUAAGAAUUUUACCGUCUUCAUCAUUGAGUUAAUAGUUUAAUUGGUCCCUAGAGGGGUUUCGGGGACGAUUAUGUGCGGAGGAUUAUUCGUAGGAGGAAAAUUCGACGACAGUAAAAAUGGUAAAUUUUAGCUAGUAAAAGGUGAUUUUUAUUCGGGUAUUAUUUUUCGAGGUGUUUUAUUUUGGAUUUGGGUUGUAUAAGAGUGUGGACCGGGCCAAGGGGUGGUCAAAGCCCAGCCCUCUCUUUUUUCUUCUCUCUCUUCUCUCCCGUUUUCUCUCCCCCGAGCCUUCUUCCCUGCCGGAUUUUCUUCUGCCCAGCUGCCGCCGUCCGGCCAGCCACCAGCCACCACUCCACCCCAGUUCGGACCCCCAUCACCUCUUCUCCCUUUCCGGCCUAGCCCCCGAGCCGUUAGCCCGUCGGAAGAGGAGAAAACUCGCCGGAGACGCCGGGAAGCUUUCUACCGGAACUCCCUCCUUCGGCCACCAAUCCGGGCAAACUUGGUACGGUUUUGUAGGUCUCCAACCCAGCUACCUUGCCCUAAAAGGACUCACUCCGGUUCGCUUCAAGUAAGGAGAUAUUUGUGGUGGAAGUUCUAGGGUGAUUUUGAUGUUUUUAGUCGAUUACCCUAGCUAGGCUUGGAUUUUGGGUUUGUGCUAGUUAGGAAAGUUGUAGAGGGAGUGGACAGGAAGUUAAUGUUAAAAUUUGGUAGAAAUUGGAGGUCGCCGGAAUCGGUCUCCGGCCGCCCAUGCCGGCGAAGCCGCCGGUUAGGAGAUUUUUAUGUUUUUAAAUGUGGAAUAUUAAGGGGAGUUUAUUGAAGUGAAUUAUGGAAUUUUUAGAUGAGUUUUGGAUAGGUUUAUGAAUUUUCGAAGUGUGGUAUUAUUGGCGGUGAAAUAGUGUAGAAUCCGGCCGUUAGAUUAAAGUUGUGUAAAAUGUGGAAAUGUGUAGUUACAGCCGAUGGUUCUAGGGUUGAGGUGUGGACCAUAUCAAAGUUAGGCGAGAAUGAGCGUGGUUACGGCUCAUAAUUAUUUUGCCUAUUUUUGAGUACGUAUUGGAUUUUCGGUUGAGAAAUUAAUAUUAUAUUUGGAACAUGACGUGAGGAGGCUCGAGCAGACGAGGCCCCAGAUCGACAUCAGGCUUAGGCCUAAUUUGUGAGUGGACGUUUAUUUUAAAUAAUUGCAUGCUAUAGUUCAUGAUUGAACAAUAAAUGUUGCGGAAUAUUUUGACGUCAUUUUAAUUUGACGAUUUUUAUUUCUUUUGGAGGGUUACCGAAAAUGGGAUUUUCGGUGAAUAUAAAUAUGUAUUUAUGAGAGAGUAUGUAUAUAAAAUGCUAGCUAACCAUAUGUGUUUGUCCACCUUAAUGACGUAGCAUAUAGCCGCAUUAUGGUGUGACGUGAGCGUAGUAGCCCUAUAUGAGUGUUUAAUUCACAUAGGGGUAUGGACACAUAUUUAUACACCCGUCUGUCCACCUUAAUGGCGUAGUGUAGCACCGCAUUAAGGCGUGACGUGAGCAUUGGACGCGAGCGUAGUAGCUCUAUAUAGACCCAUGAAUUUAUAUAGGGAGUAUGGACGUGUGUAAAUACAUACAUAUAUUUUAGAGCCUGAGAGGCUCGAUAUUAUGAGAUGAAAGUUUUAUCGCUUGCAGCAUGCAUUCGAUUUUUCCUUGGAAAUUGAGUUGGGGAAACAUAAAUAUUUAAUUUUUAAUUUAUUUUUGUCCACUCACUCUGACGUUAUUAAAUGUUUUCCCCUGGGCCAUUCGUUUUAAAAUGCCCAAUCUGCAGAGUUCGGGUUGGAUCUAGUAGGAGGCGAGGCAUAGUUACCCGCAUUUCUGCCAGUUUUCAUCAGUAACCUGUUUAACCUACUAGUGUUUUUUUGCUUCCGCUAGUGUCUAGUAGCUCUGAAUACUUUGGGAUUAUUGUAUAUUAAUUCGGUGGUGUGCUCGGUCUGUUGAUUUGAUGUUUAAAAUUUAUGAAGGAUAAUGUUGGCUUUUAUUAGCUGGAUAAUUGUGUGAUAUUUUGGACGCGUCGUAGUAAGAGUGUGAAUUGGAAAUUUUCGGGUUAGGGUUGUCCAUUUCUAAAGGAGGUUUUACUAAUCUUUUCGGUAAAUUUUCCUUAGAGGUGGUCCUCGUACGACUUACUCCGGGUUUCAGGGUGAAAUUCGGGGUGGGUUGUGUCAAGGAUGGUUGCAGGCUGUGAUGACUGGCAGUUGGGUGGCCAGAGUACCCUUUGGUCCUCAACGUGUUGGGUCAUGGCCCCAACCCUAGCCCAUUUGAAUUGCUUUAUCCAAGAUUUGAGUUUUAUGUCUAGGAUCCUGGUAUCACCAUUUUGAAUCAAGGAGGCUCUCAUAAGUGUCGGUGGGAGUACAAUUGCCAACGACAUUCAAUGACAAGGGAGUUGAAAAGGGACCUAGUUCUUUGGGCUUUGGUUCAGAGGAGGUGGGAUACUCAUCUAUGGGUUACCAUGUAGCAGCUACUGAUGUGGCAGACUCUUUGCGGUUUUCUAGUAUUUUUGUACGUCAAUUGGGGUCUCUAGACGAACUUAUUUACUUAACUGUAUUGAGUCAUAUAUCAUCUAUUCGGUUACAAUAUUUUCUAGAUAGAGUAGCGCACCGUCCUGCUAGUUAUAGCUUCAUUUAAAUGUUGAUUUUGAGUGGUAUGUAUCAGCUCCAAAACUAACACUGGAUGCACAUUAUGCACGACCUUAGUCGUUCUUAUUAAUAAAACUUCCUUUUAUUCAAAAAAAA